RNA transcript from Mercenaria mercenaria, 5180 nucleotides. RefSeq lists it as uncharacterized. Lineage: Eukaryota; Metazoa; Mollusca; Bivalvia; Venerida; Veneridae. The record is from RefSeq and is a predicted model, not a curated record. The transcript has 5 exons.
UUUGCGUUUCAUUUUACUCAGGAUGGCUUUGAACAUUAUUGUGGAAGACAGUAAACAUUGUACUCCGUGUAAGACGAAGGAUAAGAAGAUAGAAUCCCAGUAUUACUGCACAGACUGUGAGGCAUAUUACUGUGAGGACUGCUUCGAGCUGCACCCGAGAGUGCCUUAUCUUGCAAAACAUAUUGUCCUGAAACAUGAUGAUAUUGCAGUCUGGUCAAAUCUUCAAUACAAAUGUACUACACAUGACAAAAAUCUGGAAUUCUUCUGUGGAGAACAUAAGUUGCUGUGUUGUCAUGUAUGUGUUUCGUUAAAGCACAGAGCAUGUGCCAACAUGGAAUAUGUAUUAGAAUCAGCGAAGAACAUUUGUUUAAAUGAUGAAAUAAAAACAAUGAUUCAGCAUACACAAGAAAAGUUGGACAAGAUAGAGUCAUACGCUGAUAAAAUUAGACAUAAGACCGAAGUUAAUGAAAACUCAAAGGAAGAAUACAUAAAGGAAUUGGAGGGGUAUAGAAGUAGAUUGAACAAAAUGUUUGACGUGUUAAUGAAAAAUGCAUUAGAUGAGAUGAAUGAAAGAGUCGAUAGAAAUUCAAAAUACUCCGAGGAAAUGACAAAAGAACUGAAAAACUUCGGAAAAGAGCUACAGGAUCUUAAGCACCAGCUUACAACAUCGACUGCCGGUAAGGAAGUUCUAAUUUACAUCAGUCUUAAAAGAGGGGAAUCUCUUGUCGAAGAAAUUACAAAAACGUUAUCAGAAAUCAAUAUUACUACUGACAAGGACAACUUCAAACCAGUGUUUGAUAAUAAAGUUGAAGAGUACGUUCGCAAUGUAAAACAAAUUGCGUAUCUCGAAGAUGAACAAAUGAGACAAGAAGCAGUAUCAAGUAAAGAAUGUCUAGUGCAAGCAUCAGUAUCAAGUGAAGAAUAUCAAGAUCUAACAUCAAUAUUAUAUGAAGAAGAAAACACGCUAGUGCAAGGAACAUUAACAAGUGAAAAAUAUGAGAGUCACGAAUCAGCAGUCUUUGAAAACGUUAUACAGCUAGAAUCAGAACCCUUGCCAAAAGUUGAAAAAUGGGAAGAACAAUAUGAACUAGAAGCGGAAACCAUUAAAGCAUACGAAGAGCCAGAGCUAUUUUUUGAAUAUAAAGGGCAAACAUAUGUACCUCGUGGAAUGGAAUGUGUACAAACUGUAAACUAUCCAGUUAUAGAAAAAUGUGUUGAAGCACCAGAGGAAAAAACUAAAAUUUGUAAUGAAAGGCAGUAUGAUAAAUCGAUGUUACAAAUGGACAAAGGGUAUGCUGGUACAUAUUGCGACACAUUGAAACAAUCUCAUAGUAAGUCAAGAUAUUCACCUAAAGUCAAACCCGGUAAAGGCAAUGUCAAAGAAAAGGUACCAGAACGUAUUGAGCAAUACACUGGUAAAAGCGUUAAUAAAGGCGAGAUAAAAUGUGACAAAUACUGGUCUAACAGUCAAAGUAGAGAUUGCUGUUGGAAUUGUGGUGGCUAUAAAACCAAACAGGGUUUUUGUAGUGAAUGUGGUACAGUGUGGAAGUAAACAUUAUGACAAAUGCCCUUCAGGUAACGUGCAAGGUAUUGGCCAAAAAAAUCUGUCUUCUAAAGAACACUUACAAAAGAGCAAGCAUUUUCUGAAUGAACAAAUCAGGAAUGGGACCUCAGACCUUCAUGCUCAACAGCUUACAGCUUAUCCACCACUAUGGGCUCUUUGUGAUUUUGUAUACGCAUCAUUAUUAUAACCCGCCGAAGGCGGAAGGAUAUUGUUUUGGCGUUAUCCGUCUGGCUGUUCGUACGUCCGAAAUUGAAAAUGCUAAUGAUUCAAAAGUUAUUAAAGCUUGAAUUACCAAACAUCACAAAGUUAUUAAUAAGCACAUAAACUUUGCGCACAUGUAGUAUUUUCCCCUUAACCCAGUGGAAGCAGUUUUUCUCCUUGAUUUAAAAAAAAUGAAAAUGCAUAUAAUUCCAAACGUGUUACAGCUAGAACCACGAAACCUCACAUACUUAUUGAUUAGUACAUGACCUUUUCUCAAAUAAUUUAUCAUCCCAUUGAGCCAGUAAAAGGAGAGGUUUUCUCCUUGGUUUGGUUAAAAAUGAAAUGCUUAUAAUUAAACUGUGUUUCAGCUAGAACUCACGUAAUAACUGGCACAUAAGCUUUGCUAACAUGCAGUAUUAUCCCCCUUGAUCAAGUAAAAGCAGAGUACUUCCCCUUGAUUCGUUAAAAAAAUGAAAUUGCUUAUAAUUCAAAAAGUGUUUUAAUUAGAAUCACCAAACCUCACAUAAUGACUGAUUGGCACAUGACCUUUGCUCACAUAUAGUAUUAUUCCUCAUGACCAAGUAAAAGCAGAGAUUAUAUCCUUGAUUUUGUAAAAGAUAGGGAAUUUCCACCGUACCUAAGUAACAUGUCGAUGGAUCUUCAUGAAACAUUGCAAAAACGUUGAUCACUAUAUGGCGGUGGUGCAUUAACCAGAGUCAUUGCCCUUUAGUUUUUUCAAUUAAUAAAUUUCGACAUAACAAAGUAAUCCAAUGAUGGAUAUUCAUGAUAUUUAACACAAAUAUAGAUCACAAUAGGGUGGUGGUUCACUCGCAUCUUUCAUCAAAAUCUCUAUAGCAACUGCAGAGGUGUUCUAAGCUUCCUAACUCCCACAAAUCAAAGUAAUCUUUUGAAGGAUCUUCAUGAAACUUAACACAAAUAUAGAUCACUAUACGGCAGAGCUUUUUCCAUUCAUUUUGUAAAAAUAUGAACCAACAAAUCAUUUCAUGGUCAUUUGUACAUAACAUGUAUAUAUUUUGAAAUUAAAUGUCUCUCCAUAAUAUAGUCCCCUCAUUCACAAUACAUUUUGUUCGGCGGAGGAUAUAAGUUCACUGAAUUUGUUUGAUAAGAUUUUUUUAUCAUUUAUAAGACAUUGAAUGCCCAGCCUCCGGUAUAAGAAAUACUAAAUAUUAUGUCCAUGUAAAAUAUUUUAUUACAUCCCUUUUUUAGCUUUAAUACUUCCUUGAUCACCAUUCUUAUUCUUUAUAGCACAUAUAUACACUUGAUUGAUUGAUCAGUAAUAGUCAGAGAAUUGUUUCUUUUGUAGAGAGAUUGCAGAGUUUAGAAAAAAGUCUACUUUUAUAUAUGCAUGUACCUUGAAUACCCAUGUUCUGUUUGGUAUAAGAUACCAAUUUUUUGUUUGUGAAUUCAUAUUCAAAAUUUAUAUAUUUGUACAGCCGCUUACUUGUAAAGGUCCACCUUUGAUAAUUAUAUGCCCUUUUUAAAUUCGUUUUUCUUUUUUAAGUGAUGUAAAAAUAAAAACUGAAACGUAAGCAAUUGCGAGGAUCGUGAAAAAUUACUUACUCAUAAAUUAAGCGUCGUUUUAUAACAAGAUUAUGAUUUAUCGUGGCAACGAUACAUUUUUUCUUAAUUUAGUUUAAACAAACAACAAACGUACGAUAAUACACGUUUUUUUUUUGUCAAAGUCUGCAGAAGCCCGCGGGAAUAUUUGUGACCAAGACCGAAGGUCGAGUUCGCAAACAUAUCCCAAGGGCUUCUUCAGACGUUAAUGUAGGGAUAACGCAUGCUUUUCGUGUUAUAACGUCUGCAGAACCCCGAGGGAUUGUUGGUGUCCGAGUCUGUAGGGCGAGGGUACCAACGUAUCCCGACUGAUUCUGAAGAUGUUAUAACACGAAAGGAACGUGCGCUAACGUUAUUCUAACAUUAAACGCGAAAAUAAAACUAAUAAAUGAAUACAUUCUCCCACAACGUCAUUAAAUUUCCAUGAAAUACGCGGGAAUAUCAGAGUUGUUUUUUCACGUUGACGUCAUUUCCAUUUGAAUUAUCCGUUUUGGGGCCGUAAUACGUUUACGCUUUGCCACGGAACGUGUUUAUAUAAAAAGGUGUUAUAACAGCACAUGAGCGCGAGAAUCUCUCUGUUAACACACGUUUUCUCUCUUGUUAAACAACCCGAAAAGUGACAAGAACAGCAGUUCUAUGCUAGAAUACAUAAAACAACGUGUAUUGUUGCUAUUCUAGCAUAAAAAACGCGACACGACGACUAAAUGUAUUGUUUUCAUAUGUGAUGACUUUACGAUUCCGGUACAUUUUUAUUACCAUUCGGUUGUUCUUGGAAAUGGCAAACAUGUUUUAAAUAUCCAUUACCGGGGCCCAGAUACAAUGUAUCAACAACACAACCAAAAGCAUGUACUGAAGGUUUUUAAGCGAUUUUUUUAUUUCCUAUUAUUACAAACAUGACAUUACCGAUAAUUUUGCAUUGACUUUGAACAGACAAAAACAAAUAUCUACUUCCGAAAUGUCAUAUAAAUACAAAAUUAUGUGAAUAACAACGUAGUCACGAUGAUAUACUACUGAAAUGUGACACAUGAUGAGCUAAACAUAAACAUAUAUUAAUUAAACGAAAAUAUCUUGUGGAUGACGAAAAAAACUUGAAGUAUUAUAAAUUUUGAAUAAAAUUUCUUACAGUAAAUGUUUCUUUAAUCAACAAUGCUAUCUUACACAAAUAUUGUUUAUUAGUAGUAUUCAGUCACUCAUAUAAAUGUUAGGCAUAGAUGACUUUUUAUAUCAGUGUUCAACAUAUUUCUGUCUUAAAUGUUCAAAGGAAAAGUAUAUACAAAUAAAGCAGUACUCACCUUCUAUCUCAUUUCUGAUACCGUGUGAAUAUAAGUAUGUUCUCUCGUUUCUUGAACUGGUGUUUCUAGCACAGCGUCCACUUUGUAUACGAGUACACAGUGGAUGAACUAACUGUCUUGAUCUAUAAUAGAGCAAGUAUAAACUAGGUAGUAUAUCCACUAGCACCAGGUCGGAAAUAAAACACCAUUGUACAUGUUUAACCUACCCCUAGAUAGAUAACCAUGGUAAUCAACAGGAAAAUAUGCUUGACCAUUUCAGUCACCGGAACGUGCAGCUCGUCAAAUAGGUAUCAAACAAUUGGUACUUUGUCUUCAAAGUCAUAUUUUCUCAAAGGUUAUAACUGUCUUCACAGUCACAUUUUCUCAGAAGAUUAUGAUGGUCCUAGAUCGAUCACCUGAGCUCCUAAGUUUAUAGUAGCUAUGAAACGAAUUCCGCUAACGGACAUGAUUUUGUACAAAUCAAAAUGUGUUAACAGUCUUAAUCAAAUGUUCCCGUUACAUAUUGUUUUGCCAAGAAAUAUAGAGAAAAUAAGCAGUGUUCAGGC